RNAcentral lists this ribosomal RNA (840 nucleotides) under Enterococcus faecium. RNAcentral describes it as "bacterial SSU rRNA". It matches the Rfam family "Bacterial small subunit ribosomal RNA", at positions 31 to 844 of the family's 1533-position model. The record is from RNAcentral. Lineage: Bacteria; Bacillati; Bacillota; Bacilli; Lactobacillales; Enterococcaceae.
GGGCGAGGGCGGGGGCUAUACAUGCAGUCGAACGCUUCUUUUUCCACCGGAGCUUGCUCCACCGGAAAAAGAGGAGUGGCGAACGGGUGAGUAACACGUGGGUAACCUGCCCAUCAGAAGGGGAUAACACUUGGAAACAGGUGCUAAUACCGUAUAACAAUCAAAACCGCAUGGUUUUGAUUUGAAAGGCGCUUUCGGGUGUCGCUGAUGGAUGGACCCGCGGUGCAUUAGCUAGUUGGUGAGGUAACGGCUCACCAAGGCCACGAUGCAUAGCCGACCUGAGAGGGUGAUCGGCCACAUUGGGACUGAGACACGGCCCAAACUCCUACGGGAGGCAGCAGUAGGGAAUCUUCGGCAAUGGACGAAAGUCUGACCGAGCAACGCCGCGUGAGUGAAGAAGGUUUUCGGAUCGUAAAACUCUGUUGUUAGAGAAGAACAAGGAUGAGAGUAACUGUUCAUCCCUUGACGGUAUCUAACCAGAAAGCCACGGCUAACUACGUGCCAGCAGCCGCGGUAAUACGUAGGUGGCAAGCGUUGUCCGGAUUUAUUGGGCGUAAAGCGAGCGCAGGCGGUUUCUUAAGUCUGAUGUGAAAGCCCCCGGCUCAACCGGGGAGGGUCAUUGGAAACUGGGAGACUUGAGUGCAGAAGAGGAGAGUGGAAUUCCAUGUGUAGCGGUGAAAUGCGUAGAUAUAUGGAGGAACACCAGUGGCGAAGGCGGCUCUCUGGUCUGUAACUGACGCUGAGGCUCGAAAGCGUGGGGAGCAAACAGGAUUAGAUACCCUGGUAGUCCACGCCGUAAACGAUGAGUGCUAAGUGUUGGAAGGGUUUCCGCCCUUCAGU